GUCCUUUAGUUUCCCUAAUGGGAAUAGCACUUUGUAGAAUUCAGGUAUUCAUGCCAGAUUCCAGCGGGGCUGUUCCCUCUCACCUAGGGCCUGCAGUGCCCAGCAUUUCCUCACUGGGCAGUGGCCAGAUGAGGCCUGAUCCACACCUGACCCUUGUCACCAGCAUGCUGCCUGCUCCAAAUGUUUUCCCAGAAACUGGCUGUUCCUUGGACAAGGGUGAAGAAGCUUCUAGAAGAGACUCUGGACAGCUUGGCCAAGAAGCUGUCCUGAUGGCAUGGGAGUGUGUGUGGGAAGUAUAUUCCACAAGCUGAUUGGCUGAGGGCAGCUUGGAGCCAGCCAGACUGUGUGAAUGAAAUUGUUUUAAUUAAUUUUCAAGUGUUA
Molecule: long non-coding RNA, 381 nt
Organism: Ochotona princeps (American pika)
Lineage: Eukaryota; Metazoa; Chordata; Mammalia; Lagomorpha; Ochotonidae
Exons: 2
Source: RefSeq, a predicted model, not a curated record